GUGGCUAAGUUUGGGAGUACAUAGACUAAAAUUGAAACGAUAAAGAGAUGAUGAGCAUGACCCUUGCUCACUGAUAACAUACAGAUUUGUGAGAACUUCCUUAUUUAA
Molecule: small nuclear RNA, 108 nt
Organism: Dromiciops gliroides (monito del monte)
Lineage: Eukaryota; Metazoa; Chordata; Mammalia; Microbiotheria; Microbiotheriidae
Source: RefSeq, a predicted model, not a curated record